Molecule: long non-coding RNA, 502 nt
Organism: Lolium perenne
Lineage: Eukaryota; Viridiplantae; Streptophyta; Magnoliopsida; Poales; Poaceae
Source: RefSeq, a predicted model, not a curated record
AUCACCACGUCGCAGUUUCGUUUUCCCUUUUCUCUUCUCGAAACCAUAGAUCAACGAAAUCUUAACUCGCUGCUUUGACCCCUAAACCACUUCAAAUCGCUUCGGGCUCUACACGAAAGUUGUAGAUCUCGUCGAGAUCUUUCAAUCCCGACCAAUCUCAUCUCUUUUCGUCCACCAUACACGGAUAAUUUCCCAUCGCAAGGCGUCAGGUCUGACAAAAGGAAUCUUCAAUUAGUUCGUGCUCGUUUCACGAAAUCCAAAUUCCUUUGAUCUAUUUCGAGUCAACCGGAGCCAAAUUGAAUUUCAAAACGAUCUCGAAUCGUCAUGACUUCAACACGGAAGUUGUUCCUCUCGUCAAGAUCUUUCAAUUGCCGCAAGUUUCACCUUGUUUCGUUCACCGAGCAAGGAGAAAAUGAUGUUACAAAAUUCAGAUCUUAUACGUUGUACGGAGAGUAACGUAUUUUGAUUAAGAGAAGUGAACGCGCUUCGACUACCAAAAAGG